CGGACGGGUGAGUAAUGUCUGGGAAACUGCCCGAUGGAGGGGGAUAACUACUGGAAACGGUAGCUAAUACCGCAUAACGUCGCAAGACCAAAGAGGGGACCUUCGGGCCUCUUGCCAUCGGAUGUGCCCAGAUGGGAUUAGCUAGUAGGUGGGGUAACGGCUCACCUAGGCGACGAUCCCUAGCUGGUCUGAGAGGAUGAUCAGCCACACUGGGACUGAGACACGGCCCAG
Molecule: ribosomal RNA, 231 nt
Filed under: uncultured bacterium
Lineage: Bacteria
Description: partial 16S ribosomal RNA
Rfam family: Bacterial small subunit ribosomal RNA
Source: RNAcentral